This 408-nucleotide ribosomal RNA is filed under the name uncultured bacterium. Its description in RNAcentral is "partial 16S ribosomal RNA". It matches the Rfam family "Bacterial small subunit ribosomal RNA", at positions 28 to 526 of the family's 1533-position model. The record is from RNAcentral.
GACGAACGCUGGCGGCGUGCUUAACACAUGCAAGUCGAACGAAGUGGCGAACGUGUGAGUAAUACGUGGGUAACCUGCCCUCCUUUUUGGGAUUAGCCUUGGAAACGGGGUCUAAUACCGAAUAAAGGGGGAGGGGCUCGGGGCCUAUCCGCUUGUUGGUGGGGUGAUGGCCUACCAAGGCGGUGACGGGUAGCCGGCGUGAGAGGGUGAACGGGCACAUUGGGACUUAGAUACGGCCCAGAGUCCGACGGGAGGGAGCAGUGGGGGAUAUUGGACAAUGGGCGAAAGCCUGAGGCAGCGACGCCGCGUGGGGGAUGAAGGCUUUCGGGUUGUAAACCUCGUUCGCUAUCGAGCGGGUAGGGGGAGAAGAGGCGCCGGCUAACUACGUGCCAGCAGCCGCGGUAAUAC